GACGAACUGUUCUAACGUUAUUCGGAAUCACUGGGCUUAAAGGGCGCGUAGGCUGUUUGUUAAGCGGGGUCUGAAAUCCCUCGGCUCAACCGAGGAACUGGGCUUCGAACUGGCAGACUAGAGUGAAGUAGGGGUAAGCGGAACUUGCGGUGGAGCGGUGAAAUGCUUUGAUAUCGCAAGGAACACCGGCGGCGAAGGCGGCUUACUGGGCUUCAACCGACGCUUAAGCGCGAAAGCUAGGGUAGCGAACGGGAUUAGAUACCCCUGUAGUCCCUGAGCGGGCUGGCAA
Molecule: ribosomal RNA, 289 nt
Filed under: uncultured prokaryote
Description: partial 16S ribosomal RNA
Rfam family: Bacterial small subunit ribosomal RNA
Source: RNAcentral